Molecule: long non-coding RNA, 542 nt
Organism: Anopheles moucheti
Lineage: Eukaryota; Metazoa; Arthropoda; Insecta; Diptera; Culicidae
Exons: 4
Source: RefSeq, a predicted model, not a curated record
CGUAGCGCAAUUUAUUCCUCAGCAUGGAAUUCAGUACGGGAAGUUGGUAUGUAAUCUGUAAAUAGUCAACACCGGGAGUAUGGUGAUACAGAUGUGAUUAGAUCAUCGUCCACUGUUGCUUUCGUUAUCUUAAGACGAGUCCAAACGCCCUGACGUUAAUCUGGCAUCAAUGAUGAGCACAGGUUGGGAAUCGAUAAACGAUCGCAAAACCGGUUUUCUAUCAUAUUUGCCACGCUCUAGUCGAACCGAAUGGCAAUUAAUGUUAUAUUUAGGAGUUGCAAAACCAGGUUGAUUUUCUGAGAUCCGCACAUCCAUCCGGAUUGCUUACGCUGGAUCCUUCCCAACAGGAAAGUCUUGACACGAAACUUCCUUUUACCGAGGAAGACAGCAAGAGCCCAGAACAGAUGAUGAUUGACGAAUCCCAGUCCGUAUUUAAAGUAUUUGACUACUGAGAAAGCUAUUUGACUUGUAAUCGUAGUGCGUGCGUGCGUGCGUAGAACAUCGAUGGUGCUAGGGCAAUAAAAAUUAGUGACAAUAUUCGA